UGAGGAAGUAAAAGUCGUAACAAGGUUUCCGUAGGUGAACCUGCGG
This 46-nucleotide ribosomal RNA is filed under the name Boletus edulis. RNAcentral describes it as "partial 18S ribosomal RNA". The record is from RNAcentral. Lineage: Eukaryota; Fungi; Basidiomycota; Agaricomycetes; Boletales; Boletaceae. RNAcentral also lists the same sequence under 1 other name.